GGACGAACGGCUGGCGGCGUGCCUAACACAUGCAAGUCGAGCGGGGACAUUAACAGAACGGAAGUUUCGGACGGAAGGGAAGAUAAGUGUUCUAGCGGCGGACGGGUGAGUAACGCGUGAGCAACCUGUCCUUCACAGGGGGAUAACACAGCGAAAGUUGUACUAAUACCGCAUAAGACCACGGUACCGCAUGGUGCAGGGGUCAAAGGAGGAAUCCGGUGAAGGGUGGGCUCGCGUCCGAUUAGAUAGUUGGUGAGGUAACGGCCCACCAAGUCAACGAUCGGUAGCCGACCUGAGAGGGUGAUCGGCCACAUUGGGACUGAGACACGGCCCAAACUCCUACGGGAGGCAGCAGUGGGGAAUAUUGGGCAAUGGGGGAAACCCUGACCCAGCAACGCCGCGUGAGGGGAGAAGGUUUUCGGAUCGUAAACCUCUGUCCUAGGUGAAGAGGAAGAGACGGUAGCCUAGGAGGAAGCCCCGGCUAACUACGUGCCAGCCGCCGC
This 503-nucleotide ribosomal RNA is filed under the name uncultured bacterium. RNAcentral describes it as "bacterial SSU rRNA". It matches the Rfam family "Bacterial small subunit ribosomal RNA", at positions 35 to 518 of the family's 1533-position model. The record is from RNAcentral.